RNAcentral lists this long non-coding RNA (2101 nucleotides) under Polistes canadensis. Its description in RNAcentral is "uncharacterized LOC106788349". The record is from RNAcentral. Lineage: Eukaryota; Metazoa; Arthropoda; Insecta; Hymenoptera; Vespidae.
GUUCAAUUACAUGAUACGUUUUGUAUAAGUUAACUUAAUUAACAUUAUAUUAAAGAAAAUUUUUAUGAAUAUACGAAGUUUCUGCGAAAUAAUUCCGAAUAACGCGGUAUAAUUAUUUUUCAAUCGUUUUGUUAUUCGUAAUUGAAUUGUUUGUACUUUAUUUUCUUCGAUAAAAUGUUAAAAGAUCAUUGUAAUGAAUGGAAAUAAUAUUUAAACGAAAAUCAUUAUGUUAAAAAUCGUCAAACAUUUGAAUAUCGAUGAAAAACGUGUCUCCGGGAGUUUGUAAAAAAAAAUAAAAAGGGAUUGGAUACUUGGGGAUAUGGUGGUUGAACGAACGGUACAUACAACGGAGGAGUGCGUGAUGUCACUGAUGACUUAUGGUCAUCAUAAAUCAAGCCAUUGAAUUUCACAGUGUCGAUAUUUCGUCGUGCCCCUCGCGACAUUCUAUUCCGCACCCUACCACUCCCUUGGGAAGAGCGUUGUUACCAAGGGAUGUGGUAAAGGUACCCAUCAUAUUUUUUUUCUUUUUUUUUUUAUAAAUCUUCGUACUUCCUAAAAAUAGCGUGAUACAAAAAAGAAAUGAAACAAAUCAAGACAUCUGUUUCUUGUCUUCGUUGAAUUGGAAAUUGUAUUAACCAUUUAUUUGAUCAAUUUAAGAACUCAAUCUCAAAUCAAUACGAGACAUUAUCUUUUUAUACAAUAUUAUUUAAUACCAAUACAAAUUUCUAUUUAAAUCCAUUAAGUUUAUUUCUAAUGUGAAAAUUUAUUUGAAAUCUCGAACAAAUGAAACAUCGAUCAAGUACUUUGGUAUUAAUAUUUUAAAAACUUCUCAAAUUAGAGAUUCUCUUUAUGUUUCAUUUUACCAAAUGAAUAGAUACAAAGAAUAGAAAAUUAAAUUGAGAACAAUUUCUUACAUAAAUCUAAUAGCAUAAAUUUUAAUUAAAAAUUUCCAAAAACUUUUUUCUCGAAAGUGAUGCCACAAAUUAAAAAAUGAUACUCUUAUUUAUCGAUUAAUUGUUUCAUGUUGAAUCAUCCCCUAUACCACAACCCGUACUUAUGUAUAAAAAUAAUUAUAAUUUUACACGUACGAACAUAUCAUUUUCAUAGCAAACAAGAUACGCAUAAGUAUACAAAAAAUAAAUUUCUUUUUCUACCUUAUAUCAUGUAUACAUUUUCCAACGUGUUCGCAGAUAACUAGAAAUAAAUAUGAAAACAGUUAAACAGUGCACUGAAUGGACACCGAAUAAUCUUUUCCACGAAUGUCAAUGUGUUUAUAAAUUCCACGACGAGAUUUAUAAUAGAAUAAAAACAACAAUAUUGAAAUAUAGACAUCGGUUGAGGAGUCGGGAAAGUAUAUAUGUAAAAACAAAACAUUAAAUCGUUCUUUCGAUUAGUUUAACCUCUACUCAUUCUUUCCUAUUCAGUCGUCAUUCUUAUAAGCUUCCGACAAGACGUAUUAAUAUGUGUUUUCAUUUUACGUAUUAUACAUUUUCCUAUCUCAUUUAUUCGUUCGUUUAAAUUAAAUACAGUGUUUUAUAUCUUUUUUUUUUUUAACGAUGCUCUAAUUAAUACUAUUAAUUAAUUACUUUUAGUAAAUAAGAACAUUAUUUGAUCGAUAUUUUUCGUAUUAUUAAAGCAUAAAGUGUGUUUCUCGUUGGAGAGUAAAAUUUUCGGAAUGAUCUCACCGGGAAAAUGGAAUUUUAAUAUUUCAGAAUGCUUCCUGAACAUCUUCAACGACCCUUUCGUGCCUCGAACGCAUCUUCCACGUUGGAAUUUUCACACGCUUGAGAAGGUAGAAACAAAGAGGCGGCCUUGAGGAUUUCGGUAAAGGAAGAGAAAUAGGAAGAGGAGGAUGAGGAUGGAGGAUACCAUGAGGGUGGGUGACAAUGUCUCGCGAUUUACCCCCGCGCAUUGUGCUGUCUCCAACCCUCCAACCCCAAACCCUCCUCAACGAGUUCGAAGCAUCUCGACAGACAGAACGCGGCUACAACGGACGUUAUCAGCGAAAUGAAACGAAGCUCACGAUUAAAAGAACCGAUUCGCUUUCUAAUUACGUACAGAAAAGAUAGCCUCGUCUUCUACCCUUUCCCUCCCCCUACCC